CCGUGGAAGCCCGGAUGGAGACCGCUUAUUGUAGAAGCUCGGCUGAAGUCCGCCUGCAAUAGAAGUUCAGACGAAAUUUGCUUACUGUAGAAACUUGGAUGGUGUCUGGUUACUAUAGAAGCCCUGCUGCUGGAGAAGCCCGGACAUUGACGAAGUUCGAAAGAAGCUCGGAGUAAAGUCGAUCAUGAUAGGAGGAAGUCUAGAAGAGAUUCGAAGAGUAGUCGAUCACUAUAGAAAAUCAAAUGAUAGUGAAGCCCAGAGAGCAUUUGGAGUAGUCCGGUAGACGACUAAAGGAGCUCAUCAUCGAAGAAGUUCGGAGGGUACGAUAGGAGUUCGUCCAU
RNAcentral lists this long non-coding RNA (341 nucleotides) under Elaeis guineensis (African oil palm). RNAcentral describes it as "long non-coding RNA (EGUI_LNC065555)". Lineage: Eukaryota; Viridiplantae; Streptophyta; Magnoliopsida; Arecales; Arecaceae. The record is from RNAcentral.